RNAcentral lists this ribosomal RNA (387 nucleotides) under Chaetoceros sp. RNAcentral describes it as "partial small subunit ribosomal RNA". It matches the Rfam family "Eukaryotic small subunit ribosomal RNA", at positions 582 to 975 of the family's 1831-position model. Lineage: Eukaryota; Bacillariophyta; Thalassiosirophyceae; Chaetocerotales; Chaetocerotaceae. The record is from RNAcentral.
AUUCCAGCUCCAAUAGCGUAUAUUUUAGUUGUCGCAGUUAAAAAGCUCGUAGUUGAAUUUCUGGUGGGAAGAUGCGGACGGCCUCAUGGCUUGUUCCAAGUCUUCCGGCCAUCCUUGGGUGGAGCUCGUCUGGCAUUAAGUUGUCGGGCGGGGGAUGCCCAUCGUUUACUGUGAAAAAAUUAAAGUGUUCAAAGCAGACUUAUGUCGUUGAAUAUAUUAGCAUGGAAUAAUAAGAUAGGACAGCAGUGCUAUUUUGUUGGUUUGCGCACCGUUGUAAUGAUGAAUAGGGACAGUUGUGGGUAUUUAUAUUCACUUGUAAGAGGUGAAAUUCUUAGAUUAAGGGAAGAUAAACUACUGCGAAAGCAUUUACCAAGGAUGUUUUCAUCG